Molecule: ribosomal RNA, 497 nt
Filed under: uncultured bacterium
Lineage: Bacteria
Description: partial 16S ribosomal RNA
Rfam family: Bacterial small subunit ribosomal RNA
Source: RNAcentral
GAUGAACGCUGGCGGCGUGCCUAAUACAUGCAAGUCGAGCGAACAGAUGAGGAGCUUGCUCCUCUGACGUUAGCGGCGGACGGGUGAGUAACACGUGGAUAACCUACCUAUAAGACUGGGAUAACUUCGGGAAACCGGAGCUAAUACCGGAUAAUAUAUUGAACCGCAUGGUUCAAUAGUGAAAGACGGUUUUGCUGUCACUUAUAGAUGGAUCCGCGCCGCAUUAGCUAGUUGGUAAGGUAACGGCUUACCAAGGCAACGAUGCGUAGCCGACCUGAGAGGGUGAUCGGCCACACUGGAACUGAGACACGGUCCAGACUCCUACGGGAGGCAGCAGUAGGGAAUCUUCCGCAAUGAGCGAAAGCCUGACGGAGCAACGCCGCGUGAGUGAUGAAGGUCUUCGGAUCGUAAAACUCUGUUAUUAGGGAAGAACACAUGUGUAAGUAACUAUGCACGUCUUGACGGUACCUAAUCAGAAAGCCACGGCUAACUACGUG